UGAAGAAGUGCUUCUUCAUGAACAUUAGGCAUUGAUCAUUUUAUGCAUCGAUUUGACAUUCAGAAAAGAAUAUAUUGUAAGAGGCCUGAUAUUGGUAUAUGAGUACCCAAUAAUCCACAAAAUGAUUCCUCUUCGACAAAUUAAAUUCUCGAAUCUACCAUUCUUAGUGAUUCUGAAAAUGAAAAGAAAAUUCAGAAUGUUCACAAUACCUAAAACAAGCACCACCUUUGCUAAAUGCUUAAAAUGAUGGGAACCAUUCCAAAGACGCAAGACUUUUUAUUUCAACCCAAGACCUGCAUAUCAGCUCCUCAGUGAUGUGCCUUAGCUUCAGACUUCUUAUGCGACUUUGCCUUCAUCUGGUAAAAGAAAUUGAGUUCAGUAUGAGCAUUCACAAACUGAGGGCAAAAUUUGUCAAUGGAAUACCCAUUAACCAUGACAAGAAAUGCUCCAAAUGGAAAAGAAAGAAGAUAAGUGCAAAUAUAUUGGAAACAAAAGGCCCAACAUGAACCAUGGAUGAUAAAAUUAUAAACCUGAAACACAGAUCUACUUAAAGCAAAAGAAACUGCAUUGCCUUGAGAUUCUUUGACAAUAAGAACCAAAAAGUUUGUCACUUACAUCAUAUCAUACAGAUAUAAUUAUAAAUCAUCUAGCAACUUAAUGGGACAACAAUGAAUGAGAGUUUCAACAUUCCCUGCUCUUCCAUAUCAGCUCAAAUAUAAGCAUGAACAGAAAUAAUCAUUCAUCUUAUCAAUAUUGGUUCAUCAAUGAUAUCCUUCCUCUAUUCACAAUGAAUGCAAAAUUUCAACAACUAAGCUAUUGUAGAACAUUACAGUACUUACAUUAACUGCUUGAAAUUCCUAUAAAAGAGAGAGAUUGAGGCCGAGAAAAAGGAAAAGUCAGCAAUAGAGCAAUUUCUAUAAACACCAUCAAAGGUGAAGUUAUUUAAGUGAGACUCAUUAACCUAAUUGCACGAGGCCACUAACUAGCUCCAAAGCUUAUAUUAACAGCAGUCCACAACACAACAAUAUCAUAUGGAUUCUUUUUCGCCAUUC
Molecule: unclassified non-coding RNA, 1052 nt
Filed under: Hevea brasiliensis (rubber tree)
Lineage: Eukaryota; Viridiplantae; Streptophyta; Magnoliopsida; Malpighiales; Euphorbiaceae
Source: RNAcentral